UUUUAAUCAUGAGUUGAGAUUUAUGCUUAUUUCUUGUCAAUCUCGAGAUCUUGAUAGUUAAAAUCAAUUCCUUCUUUUUAGGAUUGGAGAUCCGCCUCUCCUCCGUCUCUUCCCUUGGCUUCUUGCUUCUCCUAUUGUGGCUCAGGUAGAUCCUCCGCAUCGUCAAGUGGUCCAACCCAACCAAGUGACACCCACCAGCCCACCCGCUUGGUCAUCGGCCCAUUGCAUCCACAUGUCCGCUCCUCCCUGUCGAGCACACAAGCAACUCCUACUAGAUUCGAGUUUCUUG
This is a long non-coding RNA of Panicum hallii, 289 nucleotides long. RefSeq lists it as uncharacterized. NCBI's taxonomy places the organism in Eukaryota, Viridiplantae, Streptophyta, Magnoliopsida, Poales, Poaceae. The transcript has 3 exons. The record is from RefSeq and is a predicted model, not a curated record.